RNAcentral lists this ribosomal RNA (492 nucleotides) under uncultured bacterium. RNAcentral's name for it is "partial 16S ribosomal RNA". It matches the Rfam family "Bacterial small subunit ribosomal RNA", at positions 29 to 507 of the family's 1533-position model. The record is from RNAcentral.
AGUGAACGCUGGCGGUAGGCCUAACACAUGCAAGUCGAACGGCAGCACAGUAAGAGCUUGCUCUUACGGGUGGCGAGUGGCGGACGGGUGAGGAAUACAUCGGAAUCUACUUUUUCGUGGGGGAUAACGUAGGGAAACUUACGCUAAUACCGCAUACGACCUACGGGUGAAAGCAGGGGAUCUUCGGACCUUGCGCGAUUGAAUGAGCCGAUGUCGGAUUAGCUAGUUGGCGGGGUAAAGGCCCACCAAGGCGACGAUCCGUAGCUGGUCUGAGAGGAUGAUCAGCCACACUGGAACUGAGACACGGUCCAGACUCCUACGGGAGGCAGCAGUGGGGAAUAUUGGACAAGGGGCGCAAGCCUGAUCCAGCCAUACCGCGUGGGUGAAGAAGGCCUUCGGGUUGUAAAGCCCUUUUGUUGGGAAAGAAAAGCAGCAGGUUAAUACCCCGCUGUUCUGACGGUAGCCAAAGAAUAAGCACCGGCUAACUUCGUG